This 425-nucleotide ribosomal RNA is filed under the name bacterium. RNAcentral describes it as "partial 16S ribosomal RNA". It matches the Rfam family "Bacterial small subunit ribosomal RNA", at positions 355 to 776 of the family's 1533-position model. The record is from RNAcentral.
UGGGGAAUAUUGCACAAUGGGCGCAAGCCUGAUGCAGCGACGCCGCGUGAGGGAUGGAGGCCUUCGGGUUGUAAACCUCUUUCGCCAGUGAAGCAGGCCAUCUUCUUUGUGGGGUGGUUGACGGUAGCUGGAUAAGAAGCGCCGGCUAACUACGUGCCAGCAGCCGCGGUAAUACGUAGGGCGCGAGCGUUGUCCGGAAUUAUUGGGCGUAAAGAGCUCGUAGGCGGCGGGUCGCGUCUGUCGUGAAAUCCCCUGGCUUAACUGGGGGCUUGAGGUGGGUACGGGCCGGCGUGAGUGCGGUAGGGGAGACUGGAAUUCCUGGUGUAGCGGUGGGAUGCGCAGAUAUCCGGAGGAACACCGGUGGCGAAGGCGGGUCUCUGGGCCGUUACUGACGCUGAGGAGCGAAAGCGUGGGGAGCGAACAGG